AUUAUCGCGCCAGUUGUGAUCGCGCCAUCACACGGUCCUGGUUGUGGUACGCCUUGCCCUCAAGACUAUCAUGGAGUAUGAGGUGCGGGAAGGUAGGCGACGGGGCAGCCGCGUCUACGCAUGUGCUGACGGCCACAUCUACGUUUCGAAAACCAAGAUUGGACUCAGCACAUAUCUCCAGUGCCAUCAGCGUGAGAACACUGCAGUGAGAUGCUUGGGGACGGCCGUUUUGAACGGUGGGCGCAUCCGCCUAAACCGGCCGCAUACUCAUGCUCCACUUCACCUGGAUAACGAGAUGUUGAGCGUGACGUCGGCAAUUAGGACUGCUGUCCAAAAUGAUGUAGAGGGGAGGACAAACCGCCAAAUUUUCAAUCACCUGGCGCAAGGCGAGGCGGGA
Molecule: long non-coding RNA, 397 nt
Organism: Pollicipes pollicipes
Lineage: Eukaryota; Metazoa; Arthropoda; Thecostraca; Pollicipedomorpha; Pollicipedidae
Exons: 3
Source: RefSeq, a predicted model, not a curated record